AUUUAUGUUCCAAUUACUUUUUUAACUUGGCGUGGACGUGUCCAUGCCAUUGUAUAUUUGUGUUCGAAUGACUUUUUUAACUUGGCGUGGACGCGUCCAUGCCAAUACGAGUCCACGCCAAGUUAAGAAAGUAAUUGGAACAUAAAUA
This is a non-coding RNA of Paramuricea clavata, 148 nucleotides long. NCBI's taxonomy places the organism in Eukaryota, Metazoa, Cnidaria, Anthozoa, Malacalcyonacea, Plexauridae. The record is from the annotation of a GenBank genome assembly.